UACGGAUGGGGCGAGCGCUGGCCGGAUUUAUUGGGUUUAAAGGGUGCGUAGGUGGGGUCUCAAGUCUGGUUUGAAAGUUAGCUGCUCAACAGUUAGACGUGGCUGGAAACUGGGGUUCUGGAAUGGGUUGGCGGCUGCCGGAACGGGUCAUGUAGCGGUGAAAUGCAUAGAUAUGACCCAGAACACCGAUUGCGAAGACAGGCAGCUACGACCUGAUUGACACUGAGGCACGCGCGCAUGGGUAGCGAACAGG
RNAcentral lists this ribosomal RNA (253 nucleotides) under uncultured bacterium. RNAcentral's name for it is "partial 16S ribosomal RNA". It matches the Rfam family "Bacterial small subunit ribosomal RNA", at positions 524 to 776 of the family's 1533-position model. The record is from RNAcentral.